UACGGAGGGGGUUAGCGUUGUUCGGAAUUACUGGGCGUAAAGCGCGCGUAGGCGGAUUAGUCAGUCAGAGGUGAAAUCCCAGGGCUCAACCCUGGAACUGCCUUUGAUACUGCUAGUCUUGAGUUCGAGAGAGGUGAGUGGAAUUCCGAGUGUAGGAGGUGAAAUUCGUAGAUAUUCGGAGGAACACCAGUGGCGAAGGCGGCUCACUGGCUCGAUACUGACGCUGAGGUGCGAAAGCGUGGGGAGCAAACAGGAUUAGAUACCCCCGUAGUCC
Molecule: ribosomal RNA, 274 nt
Filed under: uncultured bacterium
Lineage: Bacteria
Description: partial 16S ribosomal RNA
Rfam family: Bacterial small subunit ribosomal RNA
Source: RNAcentral